Molecule: ribosomal RNA, 253 nt
Filed under: uncultured bacterium
Lineage: Bacteria
Description: partial 16S ribosomal RNA
Rfam family: Bacterial small subunit ribosomal RNA
Source: RNAcentral
UACGGAGGCCCCAAGCGUUGUUCGGAUUUAUUGGGCGUAAAGGGUGCGUAGGCGGCGUGGUAAGUCUGGUGUGAAAGGCGUGGGCUCAACCCGCGGACUGCAUUGGAUACUGCCAUGCUAGAGGACUGGAGAGGAGAAUGGAAUUCACGGUGGAGCAGUGAAAUGCGUAGAUAUCGUGAGGAAGGCCAGUGGCGAAGGCGAUUCUCUGGACAGUACCUGACGCUGAGGCACGAAGGCUGGGGGAGCGAACAGG